Molecule: ribosomal RNA, 253 nt
Filed under: uncultured bacterium
Lineage: Bacteria
Description: partial 16S ribosomal RNA
Rfam family: Bacterial small subunit ribosomal RNA
Source: RNAcentral
UACGGAGGGUGCAAGCGUUAUCCGGAUUCACUGGGUUUAAAGGGUGCGUAGGAGGGUUGGUAAGUCAGUGGUGAAAUCUCCGAGCUUAACUUGGAAACUGCCGUUGAUACUAUCAAUCUUGAAUAUCGUGGAGGUGAGCGGAAUAUGUCAUGUAGCGGUGAAAUGCUUAGAUAUGACAUAGAACACCAAUUGCAAAGGCAGCUCGCUACACGAAUAUUGACUCUGAGGCACGAAAGCGUGGGGAUCAAACAGG